UGUCUACCGUGUUAUCAGCAGCGCGAGAGAUGACCUUGCAGGGCCUCUUAUGUGUAACAAACCGAGCGUAUAUAUCCCAGUGGGGUGUAAAUUGGAACCUACAUUUGAGGCGACGCACUAUGGCGCAAUAUGUGUAUUAUCAUGAACUGGAUUGAAGGGAAUGGUAAUUGAUAACCACAAUGAUCAUAAGUGCAUCGCAGAUCGUGUACCGUGUAGAGAAGACAGAAGCUGCAGAAAAGGAUGGAAUUGCUUUCAAUCAAGCGACAGACAACACACAAAGAGAGCGUCCCAGAUGGAACCAUCAUGACCUGGCUUUAUGCAGCGAGUCCAGUUGAUGGAAAUUGUAGUGCCAUUCAAUGCCAGCCAUUACCGUUACCGGCUCCCGAAGCAGAGCGUCUCGAACAUGAAAUGAUAGUUCGCGUCUGCUACGCACUUUGAAUUUGUUUCUGCGGCUCCUCUUGGUUCCGAACCAUGGUCAUCUGCCAGACCACCGAGCAUCAUGGUCAUGGUCUACACACAAUCCACAUCACACGUGAACCCCCUGUUUGUGAGCCGUGUGCUGUGAGAAAGACCCUGGCCCGACGGUCCAGUCAGCUAGCGGUCCUGCGGUUUAAACGUGUGUCCAACUGUCAUACCCUUUUCCUUUACCCUUUCCUCUUGCGUUCUCUAGCUGAACGCCCUUAAGCGUUCUCAGUGUCACGUCACGUAGGUAAGGUUUUCGUAGCCGGGUUUCGUCUCGGUUGAUGCCGCUAAAAAUAGACGCAAUGUGCA
This is a long non-coding RNA of Anopheles aquasalis, 771 nucleotides long. RefSeq lists it as uncharacterized. The record is from RefSeq and is a predicted model, not a curated record. NCBI's taxonomy places the organism in Eukaryota, Metazoa, Arthropoda, Insecta, Diptera, Culicidae.